RNAcentral lists this long non-coding RNA (1380 nucleotides) under Vigna radiata. Its description in RNAcentral is "long non-coding RNA (VRAD_LNC010418)". Lineage: Eukaryota; Viridiplantae; Streptophyta; Magnoliopsida; Fabales; Fabaceae. The record is from RNAcentral.
AAAAAUAAAGAAUAAAAAAUAAAAUCCAAGUGCUUAUUAUGACUAGCUGAUAUAUAAUAAGUGCUUAAUUAAGUUAUUUGUCCAAGUUCGCCUUUAGUAACAGACAUAACUAUUCAGCUUUAUAGAGUACAACCUAUGAUCAGAAAACAAUAAUCAUACUAACAAAGCUACAAAAAGGAAAAAAAGGUAAAUGAUAGGUCACAACUAUUAAAAUUCUAUUAGAGAUCGUAAAUAUUUGCAAUUAAGAGUGUUUUUUACAACUAUAUUUCCUUCCUGUAAGACUUAAAUAUAGCAAAAGACAUCAAGCAUACUAGAUUGAGUUGAAAUAAGUUCUUUCUCUCUCUCUUCCUCUUCCUUUUCUUUGUUUUCAAAAGCUAUCAAGAAAAAAAGAGAUUAAGAUGUCCAGGUCAGUCAGUAUGUGGUCUAUUAUGUUAAUACGUACUUGUAUGACUUAGUUUAUACUUAAUUUUUCACUCAAUCUGUUUUUCAUUGAUAACGGUGUCAUGUACUGCUGGCCAGAUAUCACCACCGGUUAACAGUAAUUAACCAAAGCUAGUGAUAUUAAUUACAUAUACUGGAUCAGAGGGACAGCUAAAAAAUAUUGAGAUCUUAUUUAGGGGCUGUCUUCACAAAUAUAAAAGACAGGUGCAGUAGUCUUUGGUUCCACCUGGAGUUGUUGCCCUUCUUUUGUUACGUCACCUUAUGUGAUUCAACUUUCCCCUCCGCUACACAACAACUUCUAUGUCAGUGAACCACCAACUUCUAUGUCUCACCUUAAACCGCAACACAGCAGCCUCAAUCGAUGCCUCGUCAAUAUCCAACUUUGUCUUCCCAAACGAACCAAAAAUAGGCCAAUUAAAAUAAAAUUAACACAGAUUAGGGUUCAAUUUUAAAGAUUUCUAGGCAUUACAAAUUACCAGAAAAUGAAGGAAGAGAAGAAUCACUUACCAGAUUUAGGGCUCGACAGAAGAUUGAUUUAGGGCUCCAGAGAAGAAAGAUUUAGGGCACGAUACAGUUUGACAUAAGAGGGGUGAAGUAGACCGACAGCUGCAGAGAAGAGAGGCUCGCAACCAGAGAAGUCGAUCGACAACUGCAGAGAAGAGAGCUUCGAGAGGAAACGUGACUGAAGGUUCGAGACGAGAGUUGACUGAAGGUGACAGUGUUUGAUGAAGGAUUGAUACGCAAAGAGAGCGAAGAGAGGUGACAGUGUUCGAGAUCGAAGAGAGAAGAGAGUUCUUAGGGUUCUUAGGGAAAAAGCUUCAUUGUAGUGAUACCCAGCUCAGAAUAUCCAUAUUAACCAAAAAAGCAUUUUCUUAAAAAUAUUAUUUCCCAAAACCGUAUAUAGUAUCCGCAGUUAACAACUUCCUUCAAAAUGCAUAC